GGCAUGUAGAUGUGUCGUAAGAACACCGGUGGCGAAGGCGGCUGUCUGGGCUGCAACUGACGCUGAGGCUCGAAAGCAUGGGGAGCAAACAGGAUUAGAUACCCUGGUAGUCCAUGCCGUAAACGAUGAGGGCUAAGUGUUGGGAGGCUUCCGCCGAUCAGUGCUAAAGCUAACGCAUUAAGCACUCCGCCUGGGGAGUACGACCGCAAGGUUGAAACUCAAAGGAAUUGACGGGGGCCCGCACAAGCGGUGGAGCAUGUGGUUUAAUUCGAAGCAACGCGAAGAACCUUACCAGGUCUUGACAUCUCGUGGAAAGCGUAAAAAAAAGGCGUUCCCUUCGGGGAAGAAAGGAGAGGGGGGGCGUGGGUGUCGCCAGCUCGUGUGGCGAGAGGUGGGGUUAAGACCCGCAAAGAGAGCAACCCUUGUGAUUAUUUGCCAGAAUUAAGUUGGGGACUCUAAAGAGAGAGCGGGGGAGAAAACGGAGGAGGGGGGGGAUGAGACGAAAUCUUCAUGUGCCUUAUGAGAUGGGC
Molecule: ribosomal RNA, 530 nt
Filed under: uncultured Bacillota bacterium
Lineage: Bacteria; Bacillati; Bacillota
Description: uncultured Firmicutes bacterium partial 16S ribosomal RNA
Rfam family: Bacterial small subunit ribosomal RNA
Source: RNAcentral